Molecule: ribosomal RNA, 670 nt
Filed under: Meira sp. UFMG-BRO-101B
Lineage: Eukaryota; Fungi; Basidiomycota; Exobasidiomycetes; Exobasidiales; Brachybasidiaceae
Description: LSU rRNA
Rfam family: Eukaryotic large subunit ribosomal RNA
Source: RNAcentral
CUGGCCUCAAAUCAGGCAAGACUACCCGCUGAACUUAAGCAUAUCAAUAAGCGGAGGAAAAGAAACAAACAUGGAUUCCCCUAGUAACGGCGAGUGAAGCGGGAAAAGCUCAAAUUUGAAAGCUGGCAGCAAUGUCCGCGUUGUAAUCUAGAGAAGUGUUUUCCGUGCUGAUCUGUGGACAUGUUCCUUGGAAUAGGACGUCGUAGAGGGUGAGAACCCCGUACAUGCUACAGCCCAUCAGUGCUUUGUGAUACACACGUUCGACGAGUCGAGUUGUUUGGGAAUGCAGCUCAAAAUGGGUGGUAAAUUCCAUCUAAAGCUAAAUAUUGGGGAGAGACCGAUAGCAAACAAGUACCGUGAGGGAAAGAUGAAAAGCACUUUGGAAAGAGAGUUAAACAGUACGUGAAAUUGUCAAAAGGGAAGCGCUUCAAGUCAGAUAUGACUUUGCGUGUUCAGCCUCACGGUGUAUUCACACAAUGUUCAGGCCAGCAUCGAUUUUGCGCAUUGGAGAAGGGUGGAAGGAACGUAGCACCCUCUCGGGGGUGUGUUAUAGCCUUCCACUGGAUACAAUGUGCGGGAUCGAGGAAUGCAGCACACCCGCAAGGGCAGAUCUUCGGAUACUUUUGUGCUUAGGAUGCUGGCGUAAUGGCUUGAAGCGACCCGUCUUGAA